Molecule: long non-coding RNA, 230 nt
Filed under: Triticum aestivum (bread wheat)
Lineage: Eukaryota; Viridiplantae; Streptophyta; Magnoliopsida; Poales; Poaceae
Description: long non-coding RNA (TAES_LNC009092)
Source: RNAcentral
UACUGCGUGUGAUCGGUCGAAGCUCGUUCAUGCAUAUCCUGGCUCUAAUUUAAUUUGGUUGGCUAUAUGUAACUAUAUGUUCGUGAUGUAUGCCUCGAUCGUGAAAUUGUAUUGUGUUGAACCCUGUAGCUUUGCAUGGGCAUGCAUGCAUGUGGCGUCUGUAUUUGUUUCUUCCACUUUUGCGCGUCUGUAUUUGUUUCUUCCACUUUUGCGCGUCUGUACUUGAUUAA